This 804-nucleotide ribosomal RNA is filed under the name Streptomyces coelicolor. Its description in RNAcentral is "bacterial SSU rRNA". It matches the Rfam family "Bacterial small subunit ribosomal RNA", at positions 54 to 873 of the family's 1533-position model. The record is from RNAcentral. Lineage: Bacteria; Bacillati; Actinomycetota; Actinomycetes; Kitasatosporales; Streptomycetaceae.
CAUGCAGUCGAACGAUGAACCACUUCGGUGGGGAUUAGUGGCGAACGGGUGAGUAACACGUGGGCAAUCUGCCCUGCACUCUGGGACAAGCCCUGGAAACGGGGUCUAAUACCGGAUACUGAUCCUCGCAGGCAUCUGCGAGGUUCGAAAGCUCCGGCGGUGCAGGAUGAGCCCGCGGCCUAUCAGCUAGUUGGUGAGGUAACGGCUCACCAAGGCGACGACGGGUAGCCGGCCUGAGAGGGCGACCGGCCACACUGGGACUGAGACACGGCCCAGACUCCUACGGGAGGCAGCAGUGGGGAAUAUUGCACAAUGGGCGAAAGCCUGAUGCAGCGACGCCGCGUGAGGGAUGACGGCCUUCGGGUUGUAAACCUCUUUCAGCAGGGAAGAAGCGAAAGUGACGGUACCUGCAGAAGAAGCGCCGGCUAACUACGUGCCAGCAGCCGCGGUAAUACGUAGGGCGCAAGCGUUGUCCGGAAUUAUUGGGCGUAAAGAGCUCGUAGGCGGCUUGUCACGUCGGUUGUGAAAGCCCGGGGCUUAACCCCGGGUCUGCAGUCGAUACGGGCAGGCUAGAGUUCGGUAGGGGAGAUCGGAAUUCCUGGUGUAGCGGUGAAAUGCGCAGAUAUCAGGAGGAACACCGGUGGCGAAGGCGGAUCUCUGGGCCGAUACUGACGCUGAGGAGCGAAAGCGUGGGGAGCGAACAGGAUUAGAUACCCUGGUAGUCCACGCCGUAAACGGUGGGCACUAGGUGUGGGCAACAUUCCACGUUGUCCGUGCCGCAGCUAACGCAUUAAGUGCCCCGCC